RNAcentral lists this ribosomal RNA (484 nucleotides) under uncultured bacterium. RNAcentral describes it as "partial 16S ribosomal RNA". It matches the Rfam family "Bacterial small subunit ribosomal RNA", at positions 30 to 507 of the family's 1533-position model. The record is from RNAcentral.
AUUGAACGCUGGCGGCAUGCCUUACACAUGCAAGUCGAACGGUAACAGGUCUUUCGGGAUGCUGACGAGUGGCGAACGGGUGAGUAAUACAUCGGAACGUGCCUAGUAGUGGGGGAUAACUACUCGAAAGAGUGGCUAAUACCGCAUGAGAUCUAUGGAUGAAAGCAGGGGACCUUUGGGCCUUGUGCUACUAGAGCGGCCGAUGGCAGAUUAGGUAGUUGGUGGGAUAAAAGCUUACCAAGCCUACGAUCUGUAGCUGGUCUGAGAGGACGAUCAGCCACACUGGGACUGAGACACGGCCCAGACUCCUACGGGAGGCAGCAGUGGGGAAUUUUGGACAAUGGGCGCAAGCCUGAUCCAGCAAUGCCGCGUGCAGGAUGAAGGCCUUCGGGUUGUAAACUGCUUUUGUACGGAACGAGAAGUCUUGGGUUAAUACCCUGGGAUCAUGACGGUACCGUAAGAAUAAGCACCGGCUAACUACGUG